Molecule: ribosomal RNA, 449 nt
Filed under: uncultured bacterium
Lineage: Bacteria
Description: partial 16S ribosomal RNA
Rfam family: Bacterial small subunit ribosomal RNA
Source: RNAcentral
GUCCCAGACUCCUACGGGAGGCAGCAGUGGGGGAUAUUGCACAAUGGGGGAAACCCUGAUGCAGCGACGCCGCGUGGGCGAAGAAGUAUUUCGGUAUGUAAAGCCCUAUCAGCAGGGAAGAAGAAAUGACGGUACCUGAGUAAGAAGCACCGGCUAAAUACGUGCCAGCAGCCGCGGUAAUACGUAUGGUGCAAGCGUUAUCCGGAUUUACUGGGUGUAAAGGGAGCGCAGGCGGCACGGCAAGCCUGAUGUGAAAUCCGUGGGCUUAACCCGCGAACUGCAUUUGAAACUAUUGGUCUUGAGUGCCGGAGAGGUAAUCGGAAUUCCUUGUGUAGCGGUGAAAUGCGUAGAUAUAAGGAAGAACACCAGUGGCGAAGGCGGAUUACUGGACGGUAACUGACGGUGAGGCGCGAAAGCGUGGGGAGCAAACAGGAUUAGAUACCCUGGUA